AUUAAUGAUCAAGUUCUAUUCAAGUCCCAAUUUCUUCACAUAAACACCAUUCAACAUUGUCAUUACAUCCAAAAUCCAGCAUUUCAAAGAAACAUUUCAAAAUUUUCAAAUUUCUAUUGCAUCCUAAGAAAAAUUAAUGAUCAAGUUCUAUUCAAGUCCCAAUUUCUUCACAUAAACACCAUUCAACAU
Molecule: non-coding RNA, 189 nt
Organism: Vicia faba (fava bean)
Lineage: Eukaryota; Viridiplantae; Streptophyta; Magnoliopsida; Fabales; Fabaceae
Source: the annotation of a GenBank genome assembly